AUGGACAACCUCUCUGUGCAUUUGGAAGACAAAGAGAAUGUGGGUAAUCGCUUUGUACUGGCACAGUUGGAGACUGCAUUGGAAGAAGUUACGAAGCUCAGCGGCAAAGUCGCUCAGAUGGAAAUCGCUGAGAGGAAGUUAAUGGAGCAGUGUCAUGAAGCCAGGACUACUGCCGAGAUUGCAGAGAAACAGCUGAAAGAAUCAACUAAUGCUUGCCACCUUUUAACAACGCGGCUGGAAGAGCUAGCUGGGUUCCUUGACUCUCUCAUAAGCCAGAAUGCAUCUCUCUCUGAGGAAAAGCGUCGCAUUCUCCAGGAAGCUGUAACACAGUCUCGGCUCCUGUCUAAAUCUUUGUCAGCUUCAUUUAUGGAUGGCACCUAUGCUGAGUCUGGAAUGGAGCUCUCACUGAAAUGUCCAUCUGUUGAGCCGAUCUUACCAGACUACUCAGAAAUUAAUUUCUCAAGUGAGGAGGAUGCUUUGGCCGAGGUUGAGUUAGAGACUCUUCAAACAGGAGCAGAGACCAAGGAACCAUCCUUAAAAGCUGAAGGCAAGGAUGAAGCUGAGCUGAAUCUUCUUCGAUCAGAGGUGGUUGCCCUCACAGAGCAGCUCAACUCGGUGAAUUUAGAAGUGGGUUCUGCGUCAGACUGCCCAAGCCUUCCCAAUUUCUGUGCAGAUUUUGCACAACGUUGUAUUCCAGUAUCAGGAGCAUCCAAAUUUGAUCCUAUGUUCUCCGUGACCGGCAAAUCUCUAGAGAGCCCAACAUCCAGAGCCAAGAAGCUUGCAGAUUAUGGUGGAUCAUGCGGUUCAGAAUCAGAAGUUUGGUCUGAACCAGACCGAUGUGCCUCUUUGGCUAGAAUUGGGCUCAGCAAGGAAUCAAUGGCAGGCACUAACCAAUGUUCAGAGACAGAAACAUCUGACCUAGAAGACAUCUCUAAACUCAAACUAUCAGGUAAACAGAGUAAAAAAAUAUAUGGUAAAUCGAUGAAACAGAAACUCCGUCUAUUUGAAGAGAUGAAUUCGUCAUUGAGACAAGAAAUUCAAAGUCUUCAUGGUGUGAUAGCGACAGUUUCUAAUAAGAUAAGUGAUGAAGAAUUUGUCCGCCAACUAAGGAGCCUGAACAGUCAGCUGUCAAGUUCCCAUUCAAAAUGUGCAAUUCUUGAGAAACAGCUUAUAAUGGCCAAUACACGAUGUCAGACACUCCUCGUUUUGCUGGAAGACGCACAACUCAAAUCUAAAGAUGCAGCCCAGCGAGAGGCUCGGAAAGGACACAUCAGCCAGGAAACAAUCCAUCAACUUGAGACACAAGUUAAAGGACUCGAAGCACAACUAGCUGAAUCCUCCUCAGAGCUUGGCUCCCUCUCUCAACUCAAAAAGGACUACAAUACAACGACGCAAGAGCUUUCUCAAGUCAAAUCAGCCCUAGCGGAAGAGAAGACUGCCCAUGCAGCCACGCAGGAAACGGUCUCACAACUUCGCGUUGAGAUCAAACAAGUACAAGCUCAUAUUCAAACGCAAAGGAAUGCAUCCUGGAAAAGGAGUGCGCCCUCCUGGAGGCCCAGAACAGACUCAAAGAGUGUGCAAUUGAGUUCGAGCUUCGCACCAAGGAAACGCAAGAGUGGAAUGAAAAGCGUGUGAAAGAAGUUGAGAACAGUUUAUGUGAGGCAACAGCUAAGCUCCAUGCAGCUGAGGCCAAGGUAUGAUUCUUAAUUAUGUGUAAUUAACGAUCAAAGUUUCAAACAAACAAUUUUGUUAAAGGGUGGAUAUUCUGAUAAUUGAAAAAUUUUUCUUGCAAUUCGCCAUAAAAUUGCCCACCUACCCACUCUUUUACUAAUUUUUUUCAGUAAAUACACAUGCCCUUUAGUCUAAAAACAAACUUGUUGAACAUCUGUAGUAAUUAUACCUAAGCCAGAUACAAAACUUAAAAUAACUGAUUGACACUGCUGAAAAGUGAACUCACAUAAUUUACAAACCAUUUACAAAAUUAAAUGGAAAAAGCAAUAGAGCUCUGCAAACCUCUCAUCUUAUUGCAAUGAAAGUAACGGAACCACUGAACAAAGGCAAAUGAUGUCAUCACAAUCUACAGCCAAAAUAAAUAAAAAAAAAGUCACUCAACACAAGGAUAAAAAUGUACGCUAUUUCCUUGCAAUUCCAAAAGAAUUAAACGUUUUACAGAUUUUUGAUUUUAUAUUUUGCCCAUAAAAUUUAGCUGGCUUCAGACUAAUGAUCAAAAUCCCAAAUUUUUAUUGUCUGCACAUAUUGAUUUUUAUGUACCUCCAAAAAAUUCAACAUUUUAGCCUCUUGUAAUAUCUCCACAAACCAUUCUAGGUAAUGGAACCACAUGCUUACUGUCCUCACUCAGAAAAGUUUCAAACUCCCUGAAUUCAUUCAGCCCAUAUUUUGUACUUUUCAAUGUAUUCACAUUUUUUUUAAUGAUU
Molecule: long non-coding RNA, 2435 nt
Filed under: Bemisia tabaci
Lineage: Eukaryota; Metazoa; Arthropoda; Insecta; Hemiptera; Aleyrodidae
Description: lncRNA ENSSSA2NGG010930
Source: RNAcentral